Molecule: ribosomal RNA, 119 nt
Filed under: Labrus bergylta (ballan wrasse)
Lineage: Eukaryota; Metazoa; Chordata; Actinopteri; Labriformes; Labridae
Source: RNAcentral
GCUUACGGCCAUACCACCCUGAACACGCCCGAUCUCGGUCCGAUCUCGGAAGCUAAGCAGGUCGGGCCUGGUUAGUACUUGGAUGGGAGACCGCCUGGGAAUACCAGGUGCUGUAAGCU